RNAcentral lists this unclassified non-coding RNA (263 nucleotides) under plant metagenome. Its description in RNAcentral is "partial contains small subunit ribosomal RNA, internal transcribed spacer 1, and 5.8S ribosomal RNA". The record is from RNAcentral.
UAUCCGUAGGUGAACCUGCGGAAGGAUCAUUAUUGUAUAACCGAGGUGCGAGGGCUGUCGCUGACCCGAAAGGUCGUGCACGCCCGAGUGCCCUCACACACAUCCAUCUCACCCCUAUAUGCACCACCGCGUGGGUCCCCCUUUGGCUUGUUCGGAGGGGGGCUUACGUUUUCACACAAACUUUGUAUGCAGUGUAGAAUGUAUUUUUUGUUUUUGCGAUCACGCAAUCAAUACAACUUUCAACAACGGAUCUCUUGGCUCUC